RNAcentral lists this long non-coding RNA (706 nucleotides) under Homo sapiens (human). RNAcentral describes it as "mir-99a-let-7c cluster host gene". The record is from RNAcentral. Lineage: Eukaryota; Metazoa; Chordata; Mammalia; Primates; Hominidae.
GGCAGCAUUUUAAAUUUGAUUGUGGAGUAUUCUAACCAAAUCUUCAAGAGCCGUAACUCGAGGUGAAACCUGCCAACACUUUCUUUAGCUUGCCCAUGGUGAUGUGAAGAUGAGAAGAAAUAGCAAGGCCCAACCAGUUCUUCAUCUGGAGACAGUUCAACGUUCUGCAAACCAGAUCUUCAGGAAUUUUACUGGGAUAAUUAUCCAAAUAAAUUGCAAGCAUUCUAUCCAAAUGGAGCUCUUUCUGAGAUGAAGAGAAUUCUCAAUGUCAAGAUUUGAACAAGAAGAGAAUGGAAUACACAAUAUGGACAUCCAUAAAAAUUCAUCAGAGAGCAUUUUACUACUGAGCUGCAAAGGGAAAAACUUAAAAUGGAUAUGAAAAGUGAAGAAAGUGAUCAUAGGAGAAAACCAUUUCAGGUAAAAAUAAAAAACAAAGAGCAAAUAAGAUUUACUGUUUUUAAAGAAAAACAACAUUCUUUUGACUGUGUUUUGUUAUAAGAAUUAAUUUCAUAUUCUUUAUGAGUGUAACUGUUGAAAUUUUAUUGAUGGUUUUCAUUUGAAAAUGUGUGCUAUGACCUACCUUUGUGAAAAAUUUCUUGUGGUCAAUUGGGCAGUUUGUGUCCCAUUGAAUAUAUGUCUGUGUAUCCAUACGCUUAAGAUAGGUGCAAUACGGUUUACUAGAAAGCUUUAUAGGAAAAGAAAAAAA